RNAcentral lists this long non-coding RNA (243 nucleotides) under Elaeis guineensis (African oil palm). RNAcentral's name for it is "long non-coding RNA (EGUI_LNC060161)". The record is from RNAcentral. Lineage: Eukaryota; Viridiplantae; Streptophyta; Magnoliopsida; Arecales; Arecaceae.
AUCGAACUCCGUCCGAGCUCCCAUAGUGGAUGGAUUUCGAACGAGCUUUCAUAACGGAUGGACUCCACUAGCUAGAUUUCUACAAUGGUCGAUCGCCCCCGGAUCCCCCAUACUCCUCCGGCAGACGAGUCUCUCCAGCGCUAUUCGAGGUCCAUCACUGGCCGACCUCCUACCAGGCUCCUAGUAAGACCGGACUUCCCCAGUGGAUGAUCUUCAAACGAGCUUCUAUGCUAGGCAGAUCCC